CGGUUACUUUGCCACCUCCAACGACGCAGCUGGAGUCAGUCAAUGUGAACCUUGGUACCUACGUUCAGGUUUGAACGCCGGUCCUAUUGUAGUGUGGGUGUGGCACGCUAACUGGGAGGAAUUAAACGAAGAAGAAGAAGCUAGUCGGUCCUCCUAUUCUACAGAGGAAAGUAGAAACGAACGUAAGAAGUACAGCGGUGCGUUAGAGAGAUUAAUGUACGGAACCGACGAAGAGUCCAAAGGGGAUUAGAGGGUUCUUUGAACCGAAACAAGAAAAAGCUCAAGUACUCUACCGGACCUUCGCUCUGACGAGACUUGUGGAAAACACGGGUUGUCUUGCCCGCAGGUGUCCGGCCGGGAGCACGUGUUCAGACCUAGUACCGGUGUCGCCGCCGCUCGAAUGGGUAGCGGACGGAGUUGCAGCGGAAGGACGAGGACGAGCGGAAGAAGAUGCAGAGCGCGGGACGGCACGGCGGCCUGAGCCGCUGCAGGUACUUGCCGACCUCGCCGCUGCUCGCGCUCCCCGUGCCAGUACCGCCGCCGACGCUGCCACGAGUGGCCGCCGACCUCCGACUGUUCCUGUCGACGGGCGCCCCUGCCCCGAUGCAGCUAAUGGAAAUGGACAAGAUGACGCAGACGCCGCUGCUCGUGGCCCGGGAACCCAUGCGGCGCUACCGGCGCACCGAGCGGCACGAGAAGAUGCAGGACCCGCUGUGGCGGCGCCAGAUGAAGACGAGGUCGGAGCUCCCGGAGAGCGCGGACGAGGCGGACAGGGGCCGGCACCGGCCGCACUGCGAGGAGAGCGACCCGUUGCCGCGCGGCCUGCGCGAGAGGUGGCAGCGGAGAAAGCGCAGCCCGCCUCCGCCGCCCUUCCCCCGCUCGUGGCGGCACCCAGAGUUGCCGAACGAGCCGCCGCGCGACAAGCACAGGAGGCGGCACGAGCCGCAGUAGACGGAGGCGCAGCCGCCGGCGCCACAGCGGUAGCUGUCUCCGUCGAAGAAGGCCCUGCGUACGAAGGAGGAGGAGCGGGAGCGGCGGCAGCGGCAGCAGGAGCGGCACCCGCUCCAGUCGUAUACCCCGCGGGAGCGGAAGUGGAGGGAGAUGGAACAUAUGCAGGAGCAGCAGCAGAAGUAGGUGCCGUCUAGCGUGCUGCCUCUCCGUCUCCGCCGCACCCAGCUGUUGUGGGGCCGGAGCAGGCUCGAGACGUUGCAGCACCUCUGCCUAAAAAUGCGGGGCCUGGUUCUAGGCGACGAGGGGCUUUGCCGCGGGGAGGACGUCAUGAUGCGGCCGCUGCGUUGCUUCUUCUUCUCCUCGCACAAGACCAGCCACCACACGCACGACCUCGAUGGAGACAUGGAGGGCGCCGCCGACUGGUAUGGCCUGCGCUCGCUCCUCGCGACCUCGUUCGGCCGGCGCCAGCGGCGCCGCUGGGAAAGGGGACAGAAGGAGAGGACGGAUACCUCGGUGCGGUGGCCCUCGGGCGAAGAGCGGGGGGAGGAGCUGCCGUAGCGGCCGGACAAGGACCCGGACGAGCGGAAGGAGCCGUGCUUGCGACUACGGGGCGGCUGCUUUAAGGAGAGCCGGACCGAGCGGCCACCCAAGCAGUACUCGCACCGGACCCUCAUGCAGUAGCGCUUGCUCGAGGAGAGGGAAGAGCACAGGCGGCCGGACCACGACCCGCACCUAGGCCGCUGCGACCCCUACUGUCAAGAUCGUACCCCGUUGAGCGACCCGCUGGAGUAGCGGUUGCACCGGCACCGGCACCGCCGCGCGGCGCCACCUCGGGUCCACCGGCAUCGGCCAACGAUGCCGCCCGGCCACAAGUUGCAGGAGCAACCCGACCCGGACAGAGACGACGAAAGAACGACCCAGCCCAUGGGCUUAGGCCAUCGCUAUGGGACCCUCGGGUCCGAAAUAGUCUGCGAUCCGACCCAUCGAUGACCCGAAAAGACCCGGAAGCAGUACGAGGGCUCUUCCCCGUACUUCCACCUAUCCUGCGACCCGAAACCCGAGGAACGGUAUAUGAACACAAAGAACACAUGAUGAGGGACGGAAAAACGAAUUAAAUUUCCAAGGUUGCCGAAAAGGGAGAUCAAUCCCAAGGAGACCAAGAGCGCCCCCGCUAGAACGGCGGCAGCUCAGAAACGAAGGGAUGGUGGCUAGUUGAGGGACGAAUGAGUAGACGCACCGCACCUCCCACCGGUAGAACCAGCGAAAGAGGACGAGCAUGAUCCCCGCCCCGGCCACCUUUGAUCCCACAUGGGGUUUUGUUGGGCUAGACUAGAAGCCCAAUCUCUAAGGUUACCGCAGAAGGCCUCGAAGCUCAAGGAGUCCUCAGUUACUACAUCUCGUCUACUACUUCCUUAACCCGGACUGUCUCCUCCUGAACCUACUACAACACAAACUACUCCUUCGACGUGGCGGGCUCCCCGGAUCUACCUAUCGGGACCGCUCCCAAUUGUGGACGUUCUUGAUGUCAGUCUGAACCAAGAUGUCCUUGUACGCUCGCCGAACCCUAUAACGCGUUCUCCGCUCUAAGUUUGGAAACCUCCUAUUGGAUAUGUGAUAGGUUAGGAGAACGGAACCUCUAACCCUCUCUCAGUACUUGCUACCGGGUACCUUAAAAUCUCCUCUACGCCACUAUGAACACGGCAUACUACCCUAGAGCUUCGGAAGGUGACAAUUCGAACUCUGUUAACUAUAUACCUAGGUUUAGGUACUACAUGGUCUAAACAUGCGGGUAGAGCAUUGACGCGAACGACGAUUCCACCCUCUUCACGAAAAGAGACUUGGGUUUAGUGUACUAAAACAACCGUUGAAGGUGGCUCAAACCCAGUCUUAGUUACAGAGUUUUGGGGAGUUCUUACGCCACAGGUACUAAUCUCUACCCUUCUCUGUCUAAAUAUCUCAGUUCAUACUCUUCGAGGGCCUGACCACACGCCAAACACCG
This 2950-nucleotide ribosomal RNA is filed under the name Triticum aestivum (bread wheat). RNAcentral's name for it is "partial small subunit ribosomal RNA". Lineage: Eukaryota; Viridiplantae; Streptophyta; Magnoliopsida; Poales; Poaceae. The record is from RNAcentral.